GCGUUGUCCGGAUUUAUUGGGCGUAAAGCGAGCGCAGGCGGUUAGAUAAGUCUGAAGUUAAAGGCUGUGGCUUAACCAUAGUACGCUUUGGAAACUGUUUAACUUGAGUGCAAGAGGGGAGAGUGGAAUUCCAUGUGUAGCGGUGAAAUGCGUAGAUAUAUGGAGGAACACCGGUGGCGAAAGCGGCUCUCUGGCUUGUAACUGACGCUGAGGCUCGAAAGCGUGG
Molecule: ribosomal RNA, 226 nt
Filed under: uncultured bacterium
Lineage: Bacteria
Description: partial 16S ribosomal RNA
Rfam family: Bacterial small subunit ribosomal RNA
Source: RNAcentral